Molecule: ribosomal RNA, 388 nt
Filed under: uncultured bacterium
Lineage: Bacteria
Description: partial 16S ribosomal RNA
Rfam family: Bacterial small subunit ribosomal RNA
Source: RNAcentral
CCUACGGGAGGCAGCAGUGAGGAAUAUUGGUCAAUGGGCGCGAGUCUGAACCAGCCAAGUAGCGUGAAGGAUGACUGCCCUACGGGUUGUAAACUUCUUUUAUAAAGGAAUAAAGUGAGGCACGUGAGCCUCGUUGUAUGUGUUCUAUCAAUAAGGAGCGGCUAUCUUCGUGCCAGCGGCGGCGGUAGUACGGAGUAUGCGAGGGUGAUCUGGAUUUAGUGGGUUUAAAGGGAGCGUAGAGGGGUGGUUAAGUCAUUUGUGAAAGUUUGCGGAUCAACCGUAGAAUUGCAAUUGAUACUGGAAGUCUUGAGUGCAAAUAAGGUUGGCGGAAUUCGUGGUGUAGCGGUGAAAUGCUUAGAUAUCACGAAGAACUCCGAUUGCGAAGGAA